GCUGGGCGUGGUGGCGCAUGCCUGUAAUCCCAGCUACUUGGGAGGCUGAGACAGGAGAAUCACUUGAACCUGGGAGGCAGAGGUUACAAUGAGCCAAGACCGUGCCAUUGCACUCCUGCCUGGGUGACAGAGUGAGACUCUGUCUCAA
RNAcentral lists this signal recognition particle RNA (148 nucleotides) under Gorilla gorilla gorilla (western lowland gorilla). RNAcentral describes it as "Metazoan signal recognition particle RNA". It matches the Rfam family "Metazoan signal recognition particle RNA". From Rfam's summary of the family: The signal recognition particle (SRP) is a universally conserved ribonucleoprotein. It is involved in the co-translational targeting of proteins to membranes. Lineage: Eukaryota; Metazoa; Chordata; Mammalia; Primates; Hominidae. The record is from Rfam by way of RNAcentral.